Molecule: long non-coding RNA, 273 nt
Filed under: Jatropha curcas
Lineage: Eukaryota; Viridiplantae; Streptophyta; Magnoliopsida; Malpighiales; Euphorbiaceae
Description: long non-coding RNA (JCUR_LNC001868)
Source: RNAcentral
UAAAUUCUCCUCUACCAAGUCAGGGCCAGGUCCUGUUAACGGUGAAAAAAAAUCGUUAUGAAGAUCAUCAAAUCCCGGAAAUAUCCCAUAAUCCGUAUUCGCUAACAAAUCCAAGAACGGUAUGUCCAUCAUCAGUUCACUACCAUCUAUCUGCGCAGUCAAAUCCGACACUACUGAAGGACAAGGAGACUCCGCUUGCAAUUCCGUUACAGAUUGAUCCGUUGAAGAAUUCUCCAAUUGUUUUCUCGAAGGAUACGAAUUCGCAAACCUAGC